RNAcentral lists this long non-coding RNA (851 nucleotides) under Felis catus (domestic cat). Its description in RNAcentral is "lncRNA (ENSFCAG00000045699.2)". Lineage: Eukaryota; Metazoa; Chordata; Mammalia; Carnivora; Felidae. The record is from RNAcentral.
GUGAAACUGUUAAGUCAAACUGUUAAGCAGAACUCUGGUUGAUAUAAUGUAUAUUUUCUUGUCUGUCUUGCCCUCGCUACUGUUUUAUUUAAGUGGAGUUCCAAGAGACAUGGUUUUGGGAGUUUCAAAGCAAGACAAUUGGUCUCCCUGAAAAACCUGUGCUUGAAAAAGAAUUAUGAAUACAGCGGACACAAGAAAACUCUUGCAACUUUUCUUUUUUUUUUAUGUUUAUUUUUUUUCGCUUUUAUUUUUUUAUUUUUAUUUUUUAAUAUGAAAUUUAUUGUCAGAUCAGUUUCCAUACAACAGCCAGUCUUGCAGCUUUUCUACACGAAUGGAUGGAGUAGCAAUGGGAACAAAUACAUUACCGAUGGAACUUCAGAAGGAUCUCAGCCAUGAAUACAGGCAUUCUUUACAUUCCAAUUCUGAAGAAGGUAAAAUAGACUUAUUUCUAUUUUGCCAAGCUUUCAGAAACACCAAAUUAGAAACAAGCCUAUUGUCUUCCACACAAUUUCUGCACUGUGAAGAAUGAAAAACGCGACCAGAGUGCCUGCGUGCCGAAAACGGGAAAAGAAAGAAAGGAGAAGAAUCGAUUGUAAGUUGUGUAAGGAAUGCCACCUCUGGGUCCAGUGCACCGAAAGUCAAGAGUCACUCUUCCAUCAUGGAAAGAACCCCUCACUCCACCUUAAGGACACUAACGGACACACCAAACAGGCGUAGAUUUAUACAAGUAGAAUUAUUCUUAGACAUAUACAGGGGACAUUGAAUGAACGUAAAACUGACAAUCUUUUGUCUUGGGAUGAGUGAGUGAAUUGCUCUUUAAAAGAAUAAACUGGGGGCGCCUGGGUGGCGCA